GUGGGGAAUUUUGGACAAUGGGCGCAAGCCUGAUCCAGCAAUGCCGCGUGCAGGAAGAAGGCCUUCGGGUUGUAAACUGCUUUUGUACGGAACGAAACGGUCCUGGUUAAUACCUGGGGCUAAUGACGGUACCGUAAGAAUAAGCACCGGCUAACUACGUGCCAGCAGCCGCGGUAAUACGUAGGGUGCGAGCGUUAAUCGGAAUUACUGGGCGUAAAGCGUGCGCAGGCGGUGCUGUAAGACAGGCGUGAAAUCCCCGGGCUCAACCUGGGAAUUGCGCUUGUGACUGCAGUGCUGGAGUGCUGCAGAGGGGGAUGGAAUUCCGCGUGUAGCAGUGAAAUGCGUAGAUAUGCGGAGGAACACCGAUGGCGAAGGCAAUCCCCUGGGCCUGCACUGACGCUCAUGCACGAAAGCGUGGGGAGCAAACAGGAUUAGAAACCCUGGUAGUCC
RNAcentral lists this ribosomal RNA (450 nucleotides) under uncultured bacterium. RNAcentral's name for it is "partial 16S ribosomal RNA". It matches the Rfam family "Bacterial small subunit ribosomal RNA", at positions 354 to 796 of the family's 1533-position model. The record is from RNAcentral.